This 349-nucleotide small RNA is filed under the name Pan troglodytes (chimpanzee). Its description in RNAcentral is "processed transcript". The record is from RNAcentral. Lineage: Eukaryota; Metazoa; Chordata; Mammalia; Primates; Hominidae.
CUUAAACACCAAGCCUUCCCAAGUUCUGCAGGGAGUGUGGGCCUCACACGCUGUCCCUUCCGGAUUUGGCUUUACUUUAAGAGGAGAUUCAGACAUAGACAAGAAUGAUUACCCAGAUUUGAUUGUGGGUGCAUUUGGAACAGGAAAAGUCGCUGUUUACAGAGCAAGACCGGUUGUGACUGUAGAUGCCCAGCUUCUGCUGCACCCAAUGAUUAUCAAUCUUGAAAAUAAAACUUGCCAGGUUCCAGACUCUAUGACAUCUGCUGCCUGGUGAGUUAGUCCGGUGCUUCUCAAACUCCAAUGUGAAUUCACAUCACCUGGCCUGGGUGACAGAGCGAGACUCUGUCUC